This 257-nucleotide ribosomal RNA is filed under the name uncultured bacterium. RNAcentral describes it as "partial 16S ribosomal RNA". It matches the Rfam family "Bacterial small subunit ribosomal RNA", at positions 524 to 776 of the family's 1533-position model. The record is from RNAcentral.
UACGUAGGGUGCAAGCGUUUGUCCGGAAUUAUUGGGCGUAAAGAGCUCGUAGGCGGUUUGUCGCGUCUGCUGUGAAAACCCGAGGCUCAACCUCGGGCCUGCAGUGGGUACGGGCAGACUAGAGUGCGGUAGGGGAGACUGGAAUUCCUGGUGUAGCGGUGAAAUGCGCAGAUAUCAGGAGGAACACCGGUGGCGAAGGCGGGGUCUCUGGGCCGAUACUGACGCUGGAGGAGCGAAAGCCAUGGGUAGCGAACAGG